RNAcentral lists this ribosomal RNA (253 nucleotides) under uncultured bacterium. RNAcentral's name for it is "partial 16S ribosomal RNA". It matches the Rfam family "Bacterial small subunit ribosomal RNA", at positions 524 to 776 of the family's 1533-position model. The record is from RNAcentral.
AACGUAGGACGCGAGCGUUAUCCGGAGUUACUGGGCGUAAAGCGCGGGCAGGCGGUCUGACAAGUCUGAUGUGAAAUCUCCGGGCUUAACCGGGAGAGGCCAUUGGAAACUGACAGGCUGGAGGGCAGUAGAGGUAGGCGGAAUUCCCGGUGUAGCAGUGAAAUGCGUAGAGAUCGGGAGGAACACCAGUGGCGAAGGCGGCCUUCUGGACCAAUACUGACGCUCAUGCACGAAAGCGUGGGGAGCAAACAGG